Molecule: ribosomal RNA, 253 nt
Filed under: uncultured bacterium
Lineage: Bacteria
Description: partial 16S ribosomal RNA
Rfam family: Bacterial small subunit ribosomal RNA
Source: RNAcentral
UACGGAGGAUCCGAGCGUUAUCCGGAUUUAUUGGGUUUAAAGGGUGCGUAGGUGGCUUAUUAAGUCAGGGGUGAAAGACGGUAGCUUAACUAUCGCAGUGCCUUUGAUACUGAUGAGCUUGAAUAUACUAGAGGUAGGCGGAAUGUGACAAGUAGCGGUGAAAUGCAUUGAUAUGUCACAGAACACCAAUUGCGAAGGCAGCUUACUAUGGUAUGAUUGACACUGAGGCACGAAAGCGUGGGGAUCAAACAGG